RNAcentral lists this ribosomal RNA (105 nucleotides) under uncultured eukaryote. RNAcentral's name for it is "partial small subunit ribosomal RNA". The record is from RNAcentral.
UCGCACCUACCGAUUGGAUGGUCCGGUGAAGCCUCGGGAUUGCGAGGGUGUGCUUCGGUACCUCCCGCGAGAACUUGUCUAAACCUUAUCAUCUAGAGGAAGGUG